UUUAAGGGCUGACCACCACUAAGGCAGCAUCUCUUUCUGGUGAUUAUUCCUUUGUGGUGUGUAUCCAUCCUGACUGAGAGCCUCAGCACUGAACGACCUUCUACAGGUAGAUGUUUGGAGGCUUCUUCCAAGCUUGAAUUGUUCACCCACAGGGGUGAACAUAGUAACUUCUUCAAAGAAUUAGUGUGUGUGGUGAAGAACAAGUGUAAAUUAAGAAAGAGGAGAAAAGGAAGGAAAGGAGUCCUCCAAAGACAAGACAGGCAAGAGCAGCAAAGUGACACCAAGUGGAAAGUCAAUGGGAAGACAAACACUGCGUUUUCACUAAAGCUGUUAAUUCACUCUUCACAUCUCCCACUCGAGUCAUCAAUCACAACAUAAACUAAAUAGAGCUGAGAGCACAGCUGCUUGCCUGCCACUGUAAAUGAACCUUCUGUAUAUGGACUACUGCUCCGGCAAGCUGGCGUCUUCAGAGGAAAAAAACCUCAGCUAGAAAAAUAAACAAAUCAGUCAGGGCUGAGGAAAGAGGCCAAGCAAGAGAUCCAACAUGAAGCAUGAAAUGUUCUUUUUAAAGUCAACUGCUUUGGACAAGUAUUUUGACUGUAGAAACAUUGCUUACAGAAGGACUGCUGAACAGAAAACUUGACAGCAGCAGGCGCUAAACAGAAAGCCAUCUUAGUCAGACAUAGCGCACAGUUGCAGGAAGAGUCAGCAAGUGUCAAGACUGGACUGCUGCCCUUCUCUGCACUUUGGACAGAACAGUUGUGUAUUGCAGUCUUCAUUCAUCUUCUAGACAUAUUGCAACUAAAGGGAAACAGCUGAAAUUCCUGCUUGGAAGUCAGGAGUGUUUGGGGUGUACCAAGGAAGAAAAAAUAUCUACAUGCAUAAAGAGUCUUGCAAAGAGCAAAAUUUGUUCUGUAAGGGAUAUUUGUCAGCUACUAUGAUGCACAUAUUUUAUACUUUUUCCAAGCCUGUGUUUACUGCUGUGUCAUUAUAUAGAUAUUAUAUGUUGGUCUGUGGCUCACAGAUCCUGAUGUUUCCAGGUAGAGUACUAGUAAAUGAAAGUAAGCAUAGACUUUGAGGCAGAAACUACCAUUCAGAACAUGAAGUAUUAUCUUUGCUUUAUGCCUUAAAAUCAUACUGCAACUAUAUAGUUUUGAGUAAGAAAGGGCGGAUCAUAUCUGGCUCCCAUUACGUACAAAAUGGGCAUGUACUGUACAGUUCUUUUAAUUUAAAAUAUGUAACUUUAGGGUAUAUUUUGGGGCAUGUUUAGACAAUAGCACGCAUAAAGAUUGACAAAUGCUGGAUCAAAAUUCAUUGCGGGCCUUUUGUAAGAACAGAAUAGUGCAUAAAUACUUCUUCUAAACUUCGGCAGCACUGAAGUGAAAGGAUAUGGAAAUCACAACAUAUGAUUUAAAGAAGAAACAAAAUCACAGAGGAAGAGUAAAGUAAGGUUUUUGUUGGCUAUGAAUGUGCCCUAGACUGCCCUAGAAAUACUGUUUUAUGACAGAAGGGAAGUUAAUCACAUAUUCCCAAAUAUAAAUGUCAUCAUUAGCAGUAUGCUGGCUACAACUGUAAAUCUAUGCAGGAAGAUGCAAAUGCAAGUUCUGAAGAAAUGCAGAGGUUACCCUCCCAGACAGCAGUGUGUUCCUUCUUUAACCCAAGAAAUGCUGCAGAACAGGUAUGCAGCAAUGUUUCUCAGUUUGUAGGAUACCAUACAGUUACUUAUUGUAGAGGGUGCUGCACCAGCUGUUAUUUUACAGUCUCACCUAAAAAGUUUCAAAGUUGGAAUACUGCUGAAAGGAAACAGGAAGGCAGAGAAGACCUGGUUUGAGUGAAAUGGCUAAACUUCUGGGAGGUUAGGUACUGGCAAAAGGAUGAAAUCCUGACUUCACUGAAGACAGGGUUAGUAAGAGAGGGAGUACAGCAUCUAAUCACAUCUGUAAUUAGGAGAUUACUUUUCAUACCUCUGAGAAUCCUGGAAUGGGUUAUUAACAAAAAACAUAUUGAAUUCAAAUCAGCAUGCAAACUCCACUAGCUUUCCUGAGGCUGACAUCAGGCCUUUCCAUUCCUGUUAUGUCAAACAGCUUGCUUUGGCUAAUCUCAGUUCUAUGGGCUUAAUCAGAAAUAGACAUUUCCUGCCAUGUUUUUGUUUGUUUGGCUUUUCCUGUGAGUGAUUAAAGUACCUUUGUAACUUCUUGCAUUACAGAUUAAAUACCUCCUGCAGGUGGGCUGAAGUAAUCACAUUCUGCUGAAUGUUUAUUAAAAUAGUAAUUGCUUUCAUUUCCUCAUAUAGACAGUGCACA
Molecule: long non-coding RNA, 2303 nt
Organism: Coturnix japonica (Japanese quail)
Lineage: Eukaryota; Metazoa; Chordata; Aves; Galliformes; Phasianidae
Source: RefSeq, a predicted model, not a curated record